GGCCGCCGCGGUCUAGCGGGAGGGUGGCGGACUGUGGUCCGCGGCCCCGGGUUCGAAUCCCGGCGGCCU
This 69-nucleotide transfer RNA is filed under the name Thermoproteus uzoniensis 768-20. RNAcentral's name for it is "tRNA-Und (NNN) (tRNA-Und-NNN-1-1)". Lineage: Archaea; Thermoproteati; Thermoproteota; Thermoprotei; Thermoproteales; Thermoproteaceae. The record is from RNAcentral.